RNAcentral lists this non-coding RNA (538 nucleotides) under Rossellomorea vietnamensis. Its description in RNAcentral is "Bacillus vietnamensis Bacterial large subunit ribosomal RNA". It matches the Rfam family "Bacterial large subunit ribosomal RNA", at positions 403 to 941 of the family's 2925-position model. Lineage: Bacteria; Bacillati; Bacillota; Bacilli; Caryophanales; Bacillaceae. The record is from Rfam by way of RNAcentral.
GGAUCCUGAGUACGGCGGGACACGUGAAAUCCCGUCGGAAGCUGGGAGGACCAUCUCCCAAGGCUAAAUACUCCCUAGUGACCGAUAGUGAACCAGUACCGUGAGGGAAAGGUGAAAAGCACCCCGGAAGGGGAGUGAAAUAGAACCUGAAACCGUGUGCCUACAAGUAGUCAGAGCCCGUUAACGGGUGAUGGCGUGCCUUUUGUAGAAUGAACCGGCGAGUUACGAUCCCAUGCAAGGUUAAGUUGUUAAGACGGAGCCGCAGCGAAAGCGAGUCUGAAUAGGGCGAAUGAGUAUGUGGUCGUAGACCCGAAACCAGGUGAUCUACCCAUGUCCAGGAUGAAGUUCAGGUAACACUGAAUGGAGGUCCGAACCCACGCACGUUGAAAAGUGCGGGGAUGAGGUGUGGGUAGCGGAGAAAUUCCAAUCGAACUUGGAGAUAGCUGGUUCUCUCCGAAAUAGCUUUAGGGCUAGCCUCAUGUGUAAGAGUCUUGGAGGUAGAGCACUGUUUGGACUAGGGGCCCUCAUCGGGUUACCG